CGAAUCGUACACCUGCCCCUUUGUUUAUCUGUCUGAAACCCCGUCACUCGUCUGCCAGCGUCGUCUGAGGUGAAGGACUCACCUCGCAGCGUCCCAGCACAGAACAAAAUCGCGGCCGCUUGAGACAACAGGAUCUUCUUGGUGCCAUCAAGCCCGGAUCAACUGCAGCUGCAAUUUCCAAGUUAAGUACUUAUCGUCUUAUAGGGUUUUAAAAUGUUAACAUCUUGCAGAUAUGGACGGGGACUAACUUGUCAUAGGCACGAUAGAAAGUUAAUGAAUUGAGUGUGUUUUGUUGACAUACCGAGGGAUGUUUCUGGUAGAUAUGCAUUUUGUAAAUGGAGACCCCCUUUUUGCAGUCAAGGCUUGAGUCCGUUUCCGUGGUGUACAUGCCUGGUGUGUGGCUGAUUUUUGUUUCUGUUGGUUUCUGUGACUGUUGAUGACCGGAUUGUAUUCGGUCAGUUAUUGUACGUAAAUUCUGUUCUUUACAAAACAGGGUCUUCCCUGGUUCACCAUCUGUUGUCAUUUCUGUUUUAUGUCAUGGUCAGUGGUUGUCGGGAACCUAGACCAUUACAUAAUCUGCUUUGUGUCGCUCUCUUGGGUCCCGAACCAAGAGAACAACACAGGCCAGAAAGGACGACAUGUGGUUGAAGAACCUAUUUGAUAUUAGUAGUUAAUUCCUGUAGAAAUAGUCGACUUCUCGGCGUAGACACAGUCACAGAAACCGAAUCAGCCAUUCAUCGGGCUUUGUAUACCGCAGAAACAGGCUGAAGCAGCCAUAGUUCUCGAAAUUUAAACCGAAACAAACGUCAACAUUACUUGGGAUUUCAUCGAAGCACACUCAAUCGUUACCACACAUUAAUAUUCUUCCCACUAUUUCCAUGUUAAACCUAAAACGGAAAAUUUAAUCACAAACCAUGUUAACUUUCUGUACUUUAACUUAAGUGUAAGGUAUAUUUCCUAUGUUUCUGAGCCAACAUUCAUUUUCGUCUCGUCUUUUCUACCGAGGAUCAUCGCACCUUAAGAAGAAAUGUCCGGACGUGGAAAGGGAGACAAGGACUGACGAAGGAAGGUACCGGACGUGACCGAAUGGGGAUUCGCAGUCUUCCAACACAUAUGACAAGAAACGCCUGCACGCCGUAAGAGUGGAAAGGAGCUGGUGAAUCGAUCUGUCACUCGCCUGUCACUGAAAGUGCUUCGGGACAACAUCCAGUGCAUCACAGAGUCAAGGAGGACUAAGGUAUGAACAGCUCAGCUGUGAGGCAGCUGAUGCGUGCAUACGUCCUGGCCCUGAUUUUGAACCUGUAUUGGAGGAAGGAUGCAGACAAGCAGACCGUUAACUGGGUUAACACAACUGUACAAGUUUGGAAUGAGACAGCAGCUUCCAGUAUCUUAUUGGUGCCAUCAAGCCCGGAUCAACUACAGCUGCAACGCUCAUGUCUGGACUUAUCCUGGUGAGAGGCUGCCUGAUGCCAUCUCCACGGUGACGUCCAGAAAGAUGCACUCAGGACUUCAGCCCGCUUCUGUGUUGUACAGGCCCAAUGUGUGACUGAUUUGGUUUCUGUGGCUGUGUCGAUGGCCUUGAUAGUAUUCAAACAGAUACUGGAAAUUCCGUUCUUUAUAAAACAGGAACUUUCCUGGUUAAUCAUCAUCUGUUGUCAUUCCUGUUUUAUGUCGUGGUCAGUGGUUGUCGGGAAUCUGGACCAUUACAUAAUCUGCCUUGUGUCGCUAUCUUGG
Long non-coding RNA from Branchiostoma floridae (Florida lancelet), 1734 nucleotides. RefSeq lists it as uncharacterized. The record is from RefSeq and is a predicted model, not a curated record. The transcript has 5 exons. Lineage: Eukaryota; Metazoa; Chordata; Leptocardii; Amphioxiformes; Branchiostomatidae.